UACGUAGGGGGCUAGCGUUGCUCGGAAUCACUGGGCGUAAAGCGCACGUAGGCGGAUCGCUACGUCAGGGGUGAAAUCCUGGAGCUCAACUCCAGAACUGCCCUUGAUACUGGCGAUCUCGAGUCCGGGAGAGGUGAGUGGAACUGCGAGUGUAGAGGUGAAAUUCGUAGAUAUUCGCAAGAACACCAGUGGCGAAGGCGGCUCACUGGCCCGGUACUGACGCUGAGGUGCGAAAGCGUGGGGAGCAAACAGG
RNAcentral lists this ribosomal RNA (253 nucleotides) under uncultured bacterium. RNAcentral's name for it is "partial 16S ribosomal RNA". It matches the Rfam family "Bacterial small subunit ribosomal RNA", at positions 524 to 776 of the family's 1533-position model. The record is from RNAcentral.